Molecule: ribosomal RNA, 330 nt
Filed under: uncultured bacterium
Lineage: Bacteria
Description: bacterial SSU rRNA
Rfam family: Bacterial small subunit ribosomal RNA
Source: RNAcentral
UGUGUAGGCGGUUGCUUAAGUUUGGUGUGAAAUCUCCCGGCUCAACUGGGAGGGUGCGCCGAAUACUGAGUGACUCGAGUGCGGGAGAGGAAAGUGGAAUUCCUGGUGUAGCGGUGAAAUGCGUAGAUAUCAGGAGGAACACCGGUGGUGUAGACGGCUUUCUGGACCGUAACUGACGCUGAGACACGAAAGCGUGGGUAGCAAACAGGAUUAGAUACCCUGGUAGUCCACGCCCUAAACGAUGCAUAUUUGGUGUGAGUCAUUCAGUUGAUUCGUGCCGGAGCUAACGCGCUAAAUAUGCCGCCUGGGGAGUACAGUCGCAAGGCUGAA